This 497-nucleotide ribosomal RNA is filed under the name uncultured bacterium. RNAcentral describes it as "partial 16S ribosomal RNA". It matches the Rfam family "Bacterial small subunit ribosomal RNA", at positions 28 to 507 of the family's 1533-position model. The record is from RNAcentral.
GAUGAACGCUGGCGGCGUGCCUAAUACAUGCAAGUCGAGCGAACAGACGAGGAGCUUGCUCCUCUGACGUUAGCGGCGGACGGGUGAGUAACACGUGGAUAACCUACCUAUAAGACUGGGAUAACUUCGGGAAACCGGAGCUAAUACCGGAUAAUAUAUUGAACCGCAUGGUUCAAUAGUGAAAGACGGUUUUGCUGUCACUUAUAGAUGGAUCCGCGCCGCAUUAGCUAGUUGGUAAGGUAACGGCUUACCAAGGCAACGAUGCGUAGCCGACCUGAGAGGGUGAUCGGCCACACUGGAACUGAGACACGGUCCAGACUCCUACGGGAGGCAGCAGUAGGGAAUCUUCCGCAAUGGGCGAAAGCCUGACGGAGCAACGCCGCGUGAGUGAUGAAGGUCUUCGGAUCAUAAAACUCCGUUAUUAGGGAAGAACAAAUGUGUAAGUAACUAUGCACGUCUUGACGGUACCUAAUCAGAAAGCCACGGCUAACUACGUG